RNAcentral lists this ribosomal RNA (433 nucleotides) under uncultured bacterium. Its description in RNAcentral is "partial 16S ribosomal RNA". It matches the Rfam family "Bacterial small subunit ribosomal RNA", at positions 29 to 507 of the family's 1533-position model. The record is from RNAcentral.
AACGAACGCUGGCGGCAGGCCUAACACAUGCAAGUCGAGCGAGGACUUCGGUUCUAGCGGCGGACGGGUGAGUAACGCGUGGGAAUGUGCCCUUCUCUACGGAAUAGCCCUGGGAAACUGGGAGUAAUACCGUAUACGCCCUAUUGGGGAAAGAUUUAUCGGAGAAGGAUCAGCCCGAGUUGGAUUAGGUAGUUGGUGGGGUAAUGGCCUACCAAGCCGACGAUCCAUAGCUGGUUUGAGAGGAUGAUCAGCCACACUGGGACUGAGACACGGCCCAGACUCCUACGGGAGGCAGCAGUGGGGAAUCUUAGACAAUGGGGGCAACCCUGAUCUAGCCAUGCCGCGUGAGUGAUGAAGGCCUUAGGGUUGUAAAGCUCUUUCAGCUGGGAAGAUAAUGACGGUACCAGCAGAAGAAGCCCCGGCUAACUCCGUG